AAAGUGUCUUCACAGUCCGGGAAAGAGUUAUUCCAGUACAAGCCUGCGCAGAUGAAUUUGUAAAAGCUCGCAGUUUUUAUCCUUAUCAUAGCAACGUUUUGGUAAACUGAAUGCUCUGUUACAAGCCCGACAAAGCAUAAAAAUUACAAAGACUCGAGAGCAUUUAGAGUUUCUCAAAAUCAGAAAGACUAACAUUUGCUUUUGCAAUUCAAGGUACUAGCUGAAUUGUAGGAAAGGAGCGAUUGCUAAAUGGUUUGGUCCUCCCUUCUGCUACAUUAAGCACAGUCACAACGCUACUAUUUAGGCCGAUAUUUGGGAUAUCCACUGCGGUCCAUAUUCAACGGAACGUCAAGUCUAAAGGACGGCACACUUCGAGAAGUAUGUUGAAAAGCUCCGCCUGAACUCUUCUUAUUUCGAUUCAUAUCUUAUUCAAUCUUUAUGUUAUAGUUAACUUUCGACUUCUUCAACAUAAUAUUAAGAGAGGGCUUCCGGGUUUAUUAAGAUGAUUUGGUCGAAUUAUUAGCCUACCAAGGUUAUCAAGAAUGCAAAAUCAUUUACCGCAUCCGUGAACUUCAAACUCAUGAUGUUUUAUUUAAACCUAGCAUUAGAAUAACAAAGUCAGUAAAGCUGUUUCUCAACUUUUUAAAAUUGUAAAUUUUUGACUGCAAGUCUCUUCUUUCUAUCAUCGAUCUUUUUUUAAUACCUUCUUGGUACCAUGUUAAAACAGAACUACGUAUCUGCAAAAUUUCCGAGAAAGUGAAAUGUUAACAGGGUUUGAUUGAUCAAGUCCCAAUCAAUUGUUAUUCAAACUAAGGUGAAAGUAGGUUUUCAGAGAAAAGAAAACAAAGAAACGUUUAAAGUGUCUUCACAGUCUGGGAAAGAGUUGUUCCAGUACAAGCCUGCGAAGGUGAAUUUGCAAAAGCUCACAUUUUUAUAUCCUUAUCGGAGCUACGUUUUGGAAAACUGAAUGCUCUGUUACGAGCCCCACAAAGCAUAAAAAUUACGGAGACUUGAUAGCUUUUAGAUUUUCUCAGGAUUAGAAAAGACUUUAACAUUUGCUUUUGCAAUUCAAGGUACUAGCUGAAUUGUAGGUAAGGUUGCAGUUUCAUUGGUUAUGAUGUAAUUACUGUUUUAAGCCAAAGAAUCUUUUAUGAUUAGUCCUUGUCUCAUGGAAGAGUCGACGAUUUACAAUGGAGACGCUGAUAAGAUCGCGGAGAUCGUUUGUUUUUCAGUUGAAGAAAACUGUCAAUUGUAGCACGUUUUAGUGAGUAAUUGCUAUAACUAGGAAAGCAGUGAUUGCUAAAUGGUUUGGUCCUCCCUUCUGCUGCAUUAAGCACAGUCACAACGCUACUAUUUAGGCCGAUAUUUGGGAUCCACUGCGGUCCAUAUUCAACGGAACGUCAAGUCUAAAGGACGGCACACUUCGAGAAGUAUGUUGAAAAGCUCCGCCUGAACUCUUCUUAUUUCGAUUCACAUCUUAUUCAAUCUUUAUGUUAUAGUUAACUAUCGACUUCUUCAACAUAAUAUUAAGAGAGGGCUUCCGGGUUUAUUAAGAUGAUUUGGUCGAAUUAUUAGCCUACCAAGGUUAUCAAGAAUGCAAAAUCAUUUACCGCAUCCGUGAACUUCAAACUCAUGAUGUUUUAUUUAAACCUAGCAUUAGAAUAACAAAGUCAGUAAAGCUGUUUCUCAACUUUUUAAAAUUGUAAAUUUUUGACUGCAAGUCUCUUCUUUCUAUCAUCGAUCUUUUUUUAAUACCUUCUUGGUACCAUGUUAAAACAGAACUACGUAUUUGCAAAAUUUCCGAGAAAGUGAAUGUUAACAGGCUCCUAAUGAGGGCUGCCUAUAUCGACAUUCAAAUCAAGUUGAUCAGUCUUCCCCAAUUUAAAUCGGAAUAAAAAAAAAAAAAAGGUUUUAAAGAAGGCAUAGGAUGAAAAAUGCUGUGCCUUAGCGUCUUUGAAUUCAGUGAUACAUUGUAAGGCAACCAUUGCUAAUUAAACGCACUUGACCAUAGCCGUUGCAUUACGGGCUUGCAGAAUUGAAUUUAUAGCAAUUUGUACGCCCCAAUUUCCUUGAGAAAAUGGUCUAAAAACAGAAUAACAAAGUCAGGAAAACUUUUUCGCAACUGUUUAAAAUUGUUUCUUUUGACUGCAUGUCUCUUCUUUUUUCAUCGAUCUUUUUUAAUGCCUUCUUCGUACCAUGUUAAGGCAGAAGGAAGGUGCAAAAUUUCCGAGAAAGUGAAAUGUAAACAGGCCCUAUCGAGGGCUGUGUAUAUCGACACUAAAAUCAAGUUCUUCGCUUUUCCUAGUCGAAAGGAAUUAAAUAAAGUUUAUAGAAGCCUUUGGACGAAAAAUGCCCUUCCUUAGCUUCUUUGAAUUUAGUAAAACAUGUUGUAAAGCAAUCACGUAAUGACUUUCAAGUAUUCAUCGCAUUGGUUGUUAAUAUGAACGAAUAUCGCUAUGAAGAAUGUUCCUAUAACUUGAACUUUUAGUCGGUUUUCUUUCUCAAUUUACCACUGAGGAAUUUAAUAUUUAAGUCUUCUUGAGCCGCUAUAAACAAAAACUUUACUUACACACACCCGUGUGUAAAGAAGAUGACGUGAGCUUUUGUUGUUGUUUUUUACCUGGCUGCAGAGUUGCCGUCCUGUUCAGCUGCAGUGCAGUUUUCCUUCUCUUUAAAAUCUGGAAGAAACUAGCGAAGAACUGCCCAAUUUUUCUAUCGACAUUGACCUUUUAGGUCCUGAUCCAACAAGCAGCAAAAACAAAGGCGAAAAAACUCGCAAGUUGCGUGUUUCGCAAAUUUGUUGGAAGACCACCUGCAGCAAAUUUUGGGUCUUUGACUUUUAAAGCAUUUAUAGUGACUCUUGAGUUCAUUUAGCGUUGAUUUUCUCUAUUUUGUCCGUUAAUUUUAAGCUUUUCAUUUGGCAGCUAUCGGUUAACUGGAUCAUAUGUUCUUGCUCAAACCAAAGUAUAAAAUGUGGUGUGUUCUUGACCAGCCAAUAAGGACGUUCGUUUACUUUUUUGUGCGUCGUGAUAAUUUUACACUCCAUCACAAUAAGCCCCCCCCCCCAAAAAAAAAAAAAAAAACAAACCAACAAACAAACAAAAACGAAAAAAAUAUAACACUAGAAUAGCUCUCUGCUGCGCCUCGAGCUACUCUUACGCAUUUUUCGUGCUGUCCGAACUUUCCGCGUGCAUCCAUAACUCGAUAUACGCACGCUAGGCAUGAACAAAUUCUUCAGUUUUGAUUCCUUUAAGGGCCCGCGAGCAGCCCGUUUAAUUGUGAAUGACGGUUUGUACAUUAUCGGUCCUGAGUAAGAAGAAUGCGAUACAUUCCAUCAAAGUAGUGAUAAUACAAAUUUCUUUUCAAAACGUGACACUGCCUCUAACCUAUCAAAUGUUUUCUUCGGGUCAACUCACGGUUCCUUUUACUUUAUUAUUUCAGGAUUAGUUUCCCUGAGAUUUUUAAUUAAUUCAACGUGUUAUGAAGAGUGCGUAGCGUUACGGAACUGCUAAAAAUAGAAAUAAAGAAAUUUCUAGAACGCUUUGUCAUGCUGACUCAUUGAGAACUCUUAAUAGAACUUUCUAGAACCCAUAGACAGCAUAUUUUGUUAUGAUGCAAUAGCGAUGUCAUGCUACUAAAAAUACUUGUGUUUUAGAUCUCUAGAACGUUCUGUAACAUUUUGUAAAAGAUAUAUAAGGAGUCGCGAUCGGUUAAAGUUAGGUCGUUACAGUGAGUUAGUGCUGUCACGAAGAGCCCAGAGGAGUUAGUGACGGAAUCGUCAGCCGUGUGGAAGGCUACGUUGGAGAAGGUUUAAGUAGACGUCGACAAGUUACGAGGAUGUCUGAAGGGAACUGUGAGUUGCGCAGUAGUGCACUAAGAUUAUAGUUUUUAUAGAGGGCUCUAAGGUAAUGUAAUGUAAACUUUAUUUAUACACGGAGAAUCAUCAGUUAAGCUAAAGGUAAAAACUAAAACUAUUACAACUGUUUUACAUGAUUGCCGCGUGGGAAACCGAUAUCUCAGAUACCUUCUUAAUACCGCGUUUAAACUGCCCAAUAGAACCAACGCCUUUCAAAUCUUGGGGCAAGUUAUUCCACAAACAAGCCCCGCUAUAACAAAAGCUUCGUUUCAAGUAAUUAGUAUUUGGCUUGGGCAGCGAGGGUUUUCCUGAAAGAUUUCUUAAGUUAUAAUCAUUAACAUGGCGUUGAGUGAAAAGACAUUGAAGAUAUUCUGGGGCAAGUUCAUUCCGGCAAUGUUUUAUACAUAAUUAAAGCUUUCUGUUUUUUACGACGAAGAGGCAGCUUCUCCCACUUAAGCAUUGCUAGAAGGAGGUUGGAUUUCGUAUCAAAAGGUGAUUUAGUUAUUACUCUGGCUGCGCGAUUUUGUAAUUUCUGUAAUUUGUCACUCAAAUAGCCUCUCAUACAAUCCCAGACCGGGCUGCAAUAAUCAAAAUGUGGUAAUACUAAAGCAUUAUAAAUUUGAACUGCAUCAUCCUUCGAAAUAAAAGGUCGUACACGUUUUAAUGCACCAAUGGCUGAAGAAGUUUUCUUGCAGAUCUCGUCAACGUGUUUAGACCAAGAGAGUUGAGCAUCAAUGGUAAGACCCAGAGAUUUAGUAUGAUCAGCUCUCCUGAUCGUCCUGUUAUCAAUAUUGAUAUCAAUCUCCUCACAUUGGGCAUUCAAUCUCUGCCUAGAUCCAAUUAUCAUUAAUUCAGUUUUGGCCACAUUUAAACUUAAUCUGUUCGCUCUCAGCCAACAGGUAAGGUUGUUAACAAUACUAGCAGCUAUUUUAAACAAAUUACUUGGGAUCAUAUCGAAGCCAGUGGCUUUCUUUUCAUCAAUUUUCUGAAAUAGACUAAACACAACAUCGGCACUAGGAGUUUUUAGACAAAAUGUUUUAUCGGUGUACGAAAGGUAAAACUCGGGAUCUACUUCUGCAGCUGGAACCUCUUGGGCCAGUACUUGCGCAAUAUUUGUGAAGUGUUCAUUAAAAGCUCCCGCCAUGUCGCCAGGAGUGCUUAUUGUUCUAUUGUCAACUUGGAUUUCUAAAAUAUUGUACGAUUUACUUGUGUUACGUGAGCUUAACUCGUUGGUGAGAUUCCAUGUUUUGCGCCGGUUGCCUUUGCUAGCUUCCAAGUUAUCAGAAAAGUAGCGUUACUUUGCGUAUUUGAUUGCAUUAUUUGCUUGGUUUCUAGCACGUUUAAAUUGCUCCCACAUAUCAUGGUUUUUCGAAGAAGUUGCUUUCUUUUUAUCAAAUCUCUUCUAUUCAUUUUAUGCAAUAACCCUCUAGUAAUCCACGGAGCUCACUUUUUACUAAUUCUUUUUAGUUUGCGUGGCGCGUGUUUGUCUAUGCAGCUGACAAACAUUUGUUUCCAUUUUUGCCACAUGUCAUUCGGAUCAGAACGCAAAUCAACAUUCGACCAUGGCAUCUGUUCAAGAUCACUCAAGAAUUUGGUUUUUGAAAGUGUUUAAAUUGUCGCAUUUUGAUCGUUCUUGGGCAACGACGCUCAUGAUGGACUUUACGCGUCAUAAACACAAGAGAAUGAUCACUGAUCCCAAGGUGAAUGAUACCUGAAUUCGUAACCUUCUCUGGGGAGUUGGUGAUACAUACAUCAACGAGUGUCUUAGAGACGGGAGUCACGCGUGUUGGUUCAGUGAUUGAGUGACGAAGACCAUAGGUGUCAAAAAUGUUUGUUAAAUAUGAGGAAUUAUGAGCGGAAGCUUCUGGUAACAAAUUGCAGUUAAGAUCACCAAGGAGAUAUAAUUCCUUAUUUUCAGCGUCAGUAUUGUCAAUUACAUUUUCAAACUCAUUGAAACGUCCAGGCUCUAUGUUAGGAAGAUAGUUAUUGUAUUGGUAUUGGUAUCGCUCCGUGGUAAAACUAUUACGUCAGUUAAUAAAGUAGUUGAGUUGGCACGAGUUGUAUCUUUCUAACGGUUGAGGAAAUACCGUAGAAAACGAAACUCCAAGAAACGAGAGAGUUCAAAGAAACAAACUCUUGCUUUUUUCCCUCAUAAUUCCUGAAGUGGACGCAGCUUUCAUCAUUAAAUCAUAAUUUUGAAAUUCACGAGUCAUUUAGACUGAAAACUUGCAUGUGAAUUAUCCUUGAUUUCUUAUUUUGCAAUAUAUUUCAACCACGAUUACGAAAAGCGUCACCAGCAUCAUAAUGGUUCUAUAGCCAGCAGUCAUCCCGUAUGCGUAAAUCAUGUCUUAUUAGUUUCAGUAGUACUUUUCAGUCGAGAAAAUAAAACGUAAACAUGGUUUAAUUUAUCAGGUCCAAAUCUAUUGUUAUUCAAACUAAUGUGAAACCUGUUUUUUAGAGAAAAGAAAACAAAGAAACGUUUAAAGUGUCUUCACAGUCUGGGAAAGAGUUGUUCCAGUACAAGCCUGCGAAGGUGAAUUUGCAAAAGCUCACAUUUUUAUAUCCUUAUCGGAGCUACGUUUUGGAAAACUGAAUGCUCUGUUACGAGCCCCACAAAGC
Stylophora pistillata is the source of this 6475-nucleotide long non-coding RNA. Lineage: Eukaryota; Metazoa; Cnidaria; Anthozoa; Scleractinia; Pocilloporidae. The record is from RefSeq and is a predicted model, not a curated record.